RNAcentral lists this long non-coding RNA (2866 nucleotides) under Ooceraea biroi (clonal raider ant). Its description in RNAcentral is "uncharacterized LOC109610841". The record is from RNAcentral. Lineage: Eukaryota; Metazoa; Arthropoda; Insecta; Hymenoptera; Formicidae.
CUUAAGGAACUAAAAAAAUUACUAAUCAAAUUCAUCGAUUAAUUUUCUAGGGUAAUAAAAAAGAAAGGUGUAUGGGAAGGUACGGAGAGCCCAAUAUUCCAAUCCAAUUGGUCGAUUUCCUUACGUCUUACGUCCUUAUUGGUGUGUGUGAUGGUCUUAACAGCUGCUUUAUUUAUUUUAUUACAGUUUAUUAGGAAUGAAAGUGUGGACUAUAUUCAAUCGAUUAAUGAUGUUUGAUUCCUUUUUAUUCAAGAAUCAAUUUAAUUGAUUUUUUACGUUACGUAACAAUGGAAGGGUCAAUUGAUGAACAGAGAUUGCUAAAUCGACUUGAAGCAAACUGCUAUUUAGUUGAUCUAAAAUUACGAUCAAAAUACAAAGUAAAUCGUAUAAUAAUUAUAAUUUUCAUAAUCAGCAAGACUACCUCAAGAUAAAUAUACAAUAUAUAGAGCUUAUUGGAGCCAGUUUUGGAAAAAUACUCUAGCCUCCGUGAACAAUGAGCUCGAGAUAAUACAAGUACAGCCACGUAUCUACACAUCGAUAAGUUAUAACUUCGUAUGCUGCCGUACGAGGUCCUGAAGAUCAAUUCGAAGAAUCGCUCGUUAAGCCAUUGAUACUGCUUGAUACAUAAGAAAAAAUAUGAGCAGGAAGGCAAAUAAGAAAGUCAGUGUUUCGAAAUCUCCAAGCUGACUCGAUCUUCUCAAAUCUCUCAACGAUGAACUUUAUCUUCUCGAAGGUUCUAAACUAGCAGGAAAAUAGCGUGAGAACAUAAAGCAGAUGUGAGUAUAGAAAUGUACGAAACUAAGCGACACUGUGCAAUAGCACCCGUAGACUGGAUCAGGAUCAGGAAGGCCCAAAGGGUCGAAAGGUUGAAGGGUCCGAGGAAUAACGUGCAUCUGUCCUUGUCUUUUUCUGUCUCUCCUCUUCUCCCUACGUUGCUUGUCAUGCUGAUGCUAAAUUGUGCAUUGGUCACAAAAUAAAUUAUAAAUUUCCGAAGAAAAAGACUCACAAUCUUCAAUUUCUAUGCAUUGUUAUGAGAAGACUAAAAACAAAGGAGCGCUAUUCCUUUCUAAUAAAUCUAAUACAAACAGAACAAUAAUGAAUAUUUGCAUGCCUAUUAACAAGGACUAGAUUGAAUGCAGUGUAAUACGAUGUUUGGAAAAAAUUGUAAAGAGAAAUGUCUGUACAAAGAUUGAGUGGAUUUAAUUUUAGAAAAAUAUUUUACGUGUAGAUUUAUCUUUUUAAGUGUUGAAUUCAACGAUGCAUUCCUCUAUUUUCAGCCAUUUAUUUGUCAUCCGUUUUAUUAUAUAAUAAUCUGUUGUCAAUUCUGAAAAUUAAUUAGAAAUUGAUGAGAUGAUAAAAAUAUGCAUUUAAAUUUGUAAAAUGAUUAAGGAAAAACCAAAAAAGGACACGAGACGGUUACCAGAGCCGUUAUAUUAUAACGCUUAAAUGACGUCACAAUAAAGUUGCACUUUAAAAACUAGCAAGUUGCAGACGUCUGUGCGCGCAUGUGUGCAUGUGUACCUGUUUAAAAAGCGACACGCUCGUGCAGGUAGCUUUUCAUUCGUAUAAACACUCGCGUGAGAAUGUAGGGGAUGCAGAAAUGCCGAAGCACUGUUUCCCACCCUAGAUUCGGCGACCACCCCUUGGGUCGCGCAUUAAGUAUUGCAUAAAUAACUACCGAGCCGCAUUGAGAGACUGGACUGCACUUCCGGCCAUCUGUUUCAUCGGAAAUAACGACUAGUGAUUGUGAUAUUAAUUUUGGAUUCUGAUGAACAAGUGAAUUAAUUUAUAAAUUGAAGAAAGAGAAAAGAAAAUCACAUAACUAUCUGAGAAAUCCUCAAUAAUCUUGAAAAUUUGAAAACUGCGACAUUGAAAACAAUUCUUAUUAACGUAAGAUUAUUCUAGUCAAAUUUUUUUUCUUAAAAAUAUUUUUAUAUUAUUAAAAACAAUCAAGAUAUUUAAUUGGUACUUUUUGUAAGUUUUACUAUAUUUUUUAAAUAGUGUAACUACGCUCCAAUGUAAUACAAGAUGUUAGAUCAGUAUUAGUGAUUUAAACGUUCUUUAAAAAGUGAAAGUGAAGUCAAAUAAAUAUAACGCUUAAAGCAAAAAAAGGAAGAAAAUUAUUUAUUUUAAAAUGCAGAAUUGUAAAUGUUUUUUUUUUUUAAAUGGCGUUUUAAAGUGAAUUAUAUGCAGGCAUUAAAAUUUAGUUAUGAUAGGAUGAAUAUUUCUAUGAUGUAUUUUUACUAUGAUAUUUUACGAUCUUUUAUAAUAUUUUUUUAUUUUAAUGUAUUUGACAACCUUACAUGUGCAAUUAUUGAUUACAUUUUUAUACCAGUAAAAUAUCGAUAAAUAGCGUAUAUAUAUUUAAAUAACAUUUUGAAUAACAAUUAAACAACAAAGAGAAUUAGAGAACACUUCUUUAUCAUAAAGUAACUUUUUUACUUGCAAUAUUGCAAAAACGAGUUGAUCAUUGUUGCCAUGCAUUACUGUGGCAAAACAUGUAAGAUAGUAAGAGUCAUUAACCAAUUAUCUAAGCCGGCAAUCUUCCCCAGUGACUAAUCAGUACCCGCAUUGUUAACGUUGCGUAUCGACGAAUUCAUUUAACUAUCCUUACCGAAUGAUUCAUGUCGAUUUUGCUUUUCCUCGAUGAAUCAAUUCCCAUGAAGGGCAUAUUGUAUGCUGCGGGUGGCGCGUGUCAAUGGUUUUAAAAAUCGCGCAGUACCCAGGCACCCGCGUAUAUACCCGCUCACUCUUCUAAUCAACGUACAAUAUGUGUACAGUGUAUUAUGUCAUUGUCAAAAGAAGUUGAUAACAAUGUGAUAACAGAAGUGGUAACUAAAAAAUUAAGGAGCAAUAACACGAAAAA